RNAcentral lists this ribosomal RNA (501 nucleotides) under uncultured bacterium. RNAcentral describes it as "bacterial SSU rRNA". It matches the Rfam family "Bacterial small subunit ribosomal RNA", at positions 28 to 517 of the family's 1533-position model. The record is from RNAcentral.
GAUGAACGCUAGCUACAGGCUUAACACAUGCAAGUCGAGGGGAAACGAUAUUGGAAGCUUGCUUCCGAUAGGCGUCGACCGGCGCACGGGUGAGUAACGCGUAUCCAACCUGCCCAUCACUUGGGGAUAACCUUGCGAAAGUAAGACUAAUACCCAAUGACGUCUCUAGAAGACAUCUGAAGGAGAUUAAAGAUUUAUCGGUGAUGGAUGGGGAUGCGUCUGAUUAGCUUGUUGGCGGGGUAACGGCCCACCAAGGCGACGAUCAGUAGGGGUUCUGAGAGGAAGGUCCCCACAUUGGAACUGAGACACGGUCCAAACUCCUACGGGAGGCAGCAGUGAGGAAUAUUGGUCAAUGGACGAGAGUCUGAACCAGCCAAGUAGCGUGCAGGAUGACGGCCCUAUGGGUUGUAAACUGCUUUUAUAAGGGAAUAAAGUGGGAGUCGUGACUCUUUUUGCAUGUACCUUAUGAAUAAGGACCGGCUAAUUCCGUGCCAGCAGCCG